AUUGAACGCUGGCGGCAGGCCUAACACAUGCAAGUCGAACGAGUGGCGGACGGGUGAGUAAUGUCUGGGAAACUGCCUGAUGGAGGGGGAUAACUACUGGAAACGGUAGCUAAUACCGCAUACCAUCGGAUGUGCCCAGAUGGGAUUAGCUAGUAGGUGGGGUAAAGGCUCACCUAGGCGACGAUCCCUAGCUGGUCUGAGAGGAGUAAAAUCCAAACUGGAACGGAGACACGGUCAAGACUCCUACGGUAGGCAGCAGUGGGGAAUAUUGCACAAUGGGCGCAAGCCUGUUACAGCCAUGCCGCUUAUAUGAAGAAGGCCUUCGGGUUGUAAAGUACUUUCAGCGGGGAGGCGUUACCCGCAGAAGAAGCACCGGCUAACUCCGUGCCAGCAGCCGCGGUAAUAC
This 406-nucleotide ribosomal RNA is filed under the name uncultured bacterium. Its description in RNAcentral is "partial 16S ribosomal RNA". It matches the Rfam family "Bacterial small subunit ribosomal RNA", at positions 30 to 526 of the family's 1533-position model. The record is from RNAcentral.